RNAcentral lists this ribosomal RNA (486 nucleotides) under uncultured bacterium. RNAcentral's name for it is "bacterial SSU rRNA". It matches the Rfam family "Bacterial small subunit ribosomal RNA", at positions 29 to 526 of the family's 1533-position model. The record is from RNAcentral.
AACGAACGUUGGCGGCGUGCCUAACACAUGCAAGUCGAGCGCGGGCAGGACUUCGGUCCUAUUCCGAGCGGCGCACGGGUGAGUAACACGUGAGUAACCUGCCUCGAAGUUUGGGAUAACCGCCCGAAAGGGUGGCUAAUACCGGAUAAGCCCCCACUGGCACAGGCCAGAGAGGGAAAAGCCUUGGCGCUUCGAGAUGGGCUCGCGUCCCAUUAGCUAGUUGGUGAGGUAACGGCUCACCAAGGCGAAGAUGGGUAGCUGGUCUGAGAGGAUGAUCAGCCACACUGGAACUGAGACACGGUCCAGACUCCUACGGGAGGCAGCAGUGGGGAAUAUUGCGCAAUGGGCGAAAGCCUGACGCAGCAACGCCGCGUGGGUGAAGAAGGUCUUCGGAUCGUAAAGCCCUGUCAGGAGGGACGAAACAAAUGACGGUACCUCCAAAGGAAGCACUGGCUAACUCCGUGCCAGCAGCCGCGGUAAUGUCAC